Molecule: ribosomal RNA, 526 nt
Filed under: Listeria monocytogenes
Lineage: Bacteria; Bacillati; Bacillota; Bacilli; Caryophanales; Listeriaceae
Description: partial 23S ribosomal RNA
Rfam family: Bacterial large subunit ribosomal RNA
Source: RNAcentral
AGGAGCCGAAGAAGGACGGGACUAACACCGAUAUGCUUUGGGGAGCUGUACGUAAGCGUUGAUCCAGAGAUUUCCGAAUGGGGGAACCCACUAUCUUUAGUCGGAUAGUAUCCUUACGUGAAUACAUAGCGUGAGGAAGGCAGACCCAGGGAACUGAAACAUCUAAGUACCUGGAGGAAGAGAAAGAAAAAUCGAUUUCCUGAGUAGCGGCGAGCGAAACGGAAAGAGCCCAAACCAAGAAGCUUGCUUCUUGGGGUUGUAGGACACUCUAUACGGAGUUACAAAAGAAAGUUAUAAAUGAAGCGGUCUGGAAAGGCCCGCCAAAGACGGUAACAGCCCGGUAGUUGAAAUGGCUUUCCCUCCAGAGUGGAUCCUGAGUACGGCGGAACACGUGAAAUUCCGUCGGAAUCCGGGAGGACCAUCUCCCAAGGCUAAAUACUCCCUAGUGACCGAUAGUGAACCAGUACCGUGAGGGAAAGGUGAAAAGCACCCCGGAAGGGGAGUGAAACAGUUCCUGAAACCGUGU